RNAcentral lists this long non-coding RNA (235 nucleotides) under Elaeis guineensis (African oil palm). RNAcentral's name for it is "long non-coding RNA (EGUI_LNC073529)". Lineage: Eukaryota; Viridiplantae; Streptophyta; Magnoliopsida; Arecales; Arecaceae. The record is from RNAcentral.
UCUAUCUCUCUCUCUCUCUCUCUCUCUCUCUCUCUCUCUCUCUCUCUCUGCCUGCGUGCGCGUGCCUGCAUGCAUGCACAUCCAAUUUAUCCUGGAUCUGUGAAAUUUUAAGAUAUAUUAUCUUAUUUGUGUACUAAUUCUUGUGGUAAGUGUGUGGUCGUUAAAGGAUACUCUCUUUGGUCUUUUCCAUGGAUGGUUUUGUGUAUUGGAUAUAAUAUAUGAGCUAUUGUAGGUG